This 253-nucleotide ribosomal RNA is filed under the name uncultured bacterium. RNAcentral's name for it is "partial 16S ribosomal RNA". It matches the Rfam family "Bacterial small subunit ribosomal RNA", at positions 524 to 776 of the family's 1533-position model. The record is from RNAcentral.
UACAGAGGUCUCGAGCGUUAGGCGGAAUCACUGGGCUUAAAGCGUGUGUAGGUGGAUGCCUAAGUACCUUGUGAAAUCCCACAGCUUAACUGUGGAACUGCUUGGUAUACUGGGUGUCUUGAGUCACUCAGGGGCGAGCGGAACAAAUGGUGGAGCGGUGAAAUGCGUAGAUAUCAGGAGGAACACCCGUGGCGAAAGCGGCUCUCUGGGACGGUACUGACGCUGAGACGCGAAAGCGUGGGGAGCAAACAGG